This 243-nucleotide unclassified non-coding RNA is filed under the name fungal sp. RNAcentral describes it as "partial internal transcribed spacer region". The stretch from base 1 to 46 matches the Rfam family "Eukaryotic small subunit ribosomal RNA", at positions 1786 to 1831 of the family's 1831-position model. The record is from RNAcentral. Lineage: Eukaryota; Fungi. RNAcentral also lists the same sequence under 2 other names.
AAGUCGUAACAAGGUCUCCGUUGGUGAACCAGCGGAGGGAUCAUUACAGAGUUGCAAAACUCCCUAAACCAUUGUGAACGUUACCUAAACCGUUGCUUCGGCGGGCGGCCCGGGUCCUUCCCGGCGCCCCUCGGCCCUCGCGGGCGCCCGCCGGAGGUAAACCAAACUAUUGCAUUGUAUGGCCUCUCUGAGUCUUCUGUACUGAAUAAGUCAAAACUUUCAACAACGGAUCUCUUGGUUCUG